GGAGGGACCUGAACCCGGGAGCGGCGGAUUGCAAGUCCGACACGCUGACCACUCGACCAUGCUGCCUUCUUAUGAUUUGAAAGUAGUGUUACUCUAGUUACAGGAAGGAGAGGGGAGGGAAGGGAGAGGUUGGCUGUUCACAGGUGAAUCUCUGAAUUUUUAAACUUUAAUAAUAUCCGGUAAGGAAAAUACAGGUACGAUCCUUCCUCGGAUUCCCGUAAACUUUGGUAGGUAGGUUAUGUAUGGGGAGUUAUUAUGUCCUCAAUACAUAUUAUGUCCUAUACUUUACCUGUGAUAUCCUAAACACAUACAGGGCUAAACAAGGUUAAAUAAAGCUCUACACAGUA
Long non-coding RNA from Stylophora pistillata, 347 nucleotides. NCBI's taxonomy places the organism in Eukaryota, Metazoa, Cnidaria, Anthozoa, Scleractinia, Pocilloporidae. The record is from RefSeq and is a predicted model, not a curated record.